This is a long non-coding RNA of Prionailurus viverrinus (fishing cat), 4675 nucleotides long. RefSeq lists it as uncharacterized. NCBI's taxonomy places the organism in Eukaryota, Metazoa, Chordata, Mammalia, Carnivora, Felidae. The record is from RefSeq and is a predicted model, not a curated record. The transcript is spliced from 3 exons.
GGAUCAUGACCUGAGCCAAAAUCAAGACUUGGACACUCAACCAACUGAGCCACCCAAGCAUCCCAGGAAAAAAAGGAUAUUAAACAAAUAAUCACAAUAAUAAAUGUAAAGUUUCACUCGUGUGAAGUGUUAGGAAGAAGAGACACUCAGGGCCAGGUUUAGACUGGUCAGGAAGUGCCCUGAUCAAGCUGCUUCUUUGAAAAACACAAGAGGUAAUUGUGUUUAGAGGCUUUUAUUUAUUUGCCUGUUUAUGUGAUACUUUAAUACACAAAUGAUUUCUUUGAAAGCAAAGCAAUUUAUUUCAUUGAGUAGAUAUAAGCAACUUUAGAUCUUCUUUGCUUUUAGCCAUUAUCAACACUAAUGUUUCACCAGGGGAGUAUACUACGGUAAAGCAGGCUGAGUUACAUGGGUCUACCAGAGAAUUUAGAAAUAUUGGAUUGUGUUGCUCUUGGAAAUCAUUACCAUCAGAAAAGUUUGCCAUCUAAACCUGCACUCUUUUUUUUUUAAGCUUAUUUAUUUAUUUUUGAAAGAGAGAGAGAGAGAGAGAGAGAGAGAGAGAGAGAAUGAGUGGGGGAGGAGGAGAGAGAGAGAGAAUCCCAAGCAGGCUCCACUAUCAACACGGAGCCUGGGUUCUGGGGCUUGAUCUCAUGAACCAGGAGAUAAUGACCUGAAACCAAAACCAAGAGUUGGAUGGUUAACCUACUGAGCCACCCAGGCACCCUUAAAUCUGUACUUUUUACCUAGAGCACCACAUUCCACAGCGCCUACCUGCUGACGCGCAAAACAGAAGGGCACUUUACACUUGGUGCUGAGGACCUUCCUUGCUUAUUGACACUCUGAUCUUAUUCUGUCAUUUAUUUAUUAUUUGUUUCUCAAAAAAUGUUUAUUCAUUUAUUUAUCAAAACACCUUCCUUGGGGCACAAUGCAGGACACUGGAGACCAAACAGGAAACAUGAAGGAUGAGGUCCCCGGUCUCAGGAGCUUAUUACAGUCAGACACGAAGCAAACACAUGAAUGAAUAAGGAAAAGACCCAGGAAAAGAAUGAAAUGUGCAUCAAGUAAGGCCUCUCUGAAGGAAAAGUGACAAGUGGGCUGAGAUGUGAAGAAUAAGAUGCAGUUCAUGCAGUCCCGCCUUUGAAGCAGAACUCCUGCUUUGUGUCACCUUGAGAAGUGAUUGCAAGACAGCUUGGUUUCACUCUCUUGAUUGUCAUAAAGCUGCUAUUCUGCCUGUACCAAGCAAACCAGAAUCCUGGAUAUAAUUUGAUCUUCAUUACGAAGAGGGGAGCCGAAUCAGAUAAUAGAAGACUUGAAGAGUUUAAGUAACAAGGGAUCAACCUCACAUUCCCCAUCCAGCUCUACACCCCCAUUGGGGUAGUUGUUUGUGGCUCAAGUUACUUUAACAGGAACUGAGGAAAGGCUAUUUUGAGUCCAAGACAUGAGGCUAAGGGCUUUCCCUCUCCUGGGAAACCCCCAUCCCUGAAAUCUACCCAAAUCUCAGAUUUACAUCUCACAAAGGCAGAUGCCAAGACCCCUUCUUUGCACAAUACAUCCCUCCCGCCUGCCUCCAGAAGCCUACAGGUAGCAAUUUGCCACAUCCUCUGCAUUUGACAGAGGGCUAGGAAUUAGAGGAGGUGUUUUGCUCUCCUGUCACUUGUCUCCUCAUGGUAUAAUUAUCUGAGUUCCUAGGUGCGGCUGUGAUAUGUGAAGAAAUCCAAAGAAGAAACACAAUAUGUCUUCAUUGUCUUUCAUCAUUAGCCUUCAAUUAAAUAUUUCCUACCCUGGGCUAAGGUAGCUUGGGGUGGAACAAGCCAAGGGCUGCAAGCCAGAAGAGAUGAACCUUAAUCUCUCUUCCACAUGUAGGAGCUGUGUGUUGUUAGCCAAAUCUCUUACUAUCUCUGAGGCUUGGUGUUUUCUUUGAUAAAACCAGAGAAUAGACUGGAUUAUUUCUAAAUUCCUCCUGGGGCUGAUUUAUUAAAAAUUCUAUAGCUAUAAUUUAUGCUCAAAUAAUGAUGGAAAAAAUAGUCUAAAUACCAAGUGAAGGUGGUUAAAAUCAGGCUAUCUGAUGUUGAUCUGUUGAGGUUUCCUCCAUAAGGUAAUUUUGACUUUUGCAUUUUGCCUGCCCAUUUACAGGAGCUGGUAAUGUUCGAGACGAAGCAGGAAUUCAAACCACAUUUUUUAUGUAAACACACUACAUUUUUUUGUCUUAGGAAAUGUUUUGAAGCAACCCAUGCAUUUCACAAUCUUCAUAACUAAAUUCUGAGAAAUUUACUUGUUUUAAGAACAUAUUUAUCGUAUCUAAGUACGCCUAAAAAGUAGUGAGACUACUUUCUAAAAGACACACCCUAAGAAGUCUCAUGGUGUGUGUCAUACAACAUGUUCUCCUUUCCACAUAAAUGCUGUAUUUCAAGAAUGGAUAGAAUUUAAUAAGUCAUUUAUUCCAUAGACCCUUGCCCUUUUGUCAUCUACAAAGAAAGGAAGUAAAAAACAAACAAAAUAUUUCUACGAUUAAAUUCAAGUCUUAAGUAAUAACAUUUCAUUUUUGAAUGGGGCUUUAAAACCUUUGAAGCAUUUUUACGUAAAUUAUUUUACUAGCUUCUCCCAUCACCCCUGUGAAGUACAGAGGAGGACAAUGUUAUCUUUAUUUUACAAGUGAAGAAAUGAAAGUCAGGCAAUAAAACUUACAAAGGAAAAGGAGACACAGCCCCUAGGAUCUGGCAUUGAAGCCAGAGUACCAUCAAAUGGGAUUUCCUUCUGAAGACAUGUUGGCAUUUAGGGAACAUUGCCUUGGCCUUGCUUUUCCUGAAAUGAAAAGUCAUGAAACAAAUCUUAAAGGCAAGCUCCUUGGGUCUCAAGGGGCUCCUGCGUGCUGUCAGGCAUCCAUGGUCUCUCUGUUUCAUAGAAUUUUAAAGGGGAUUUCUUAUAAUCCUGACUAUUGCUAACAACUACAGCCUGUAGUAUACACAUAAGAACAUGUGAUCCAAAGCUCUGAAUGAGCUUCUAGAAAUUCCAUGAAGCCAGCCUGGUGGAUUUUCCAGGCUGCUGACAGGGACUAAAAUCACUAUGAGCUUCCAAAGAGAAGAUUCUGUUGUAUAAAACAUGCCUUUGAUGCACUGAAAUGUCUAAAAACUUUUUUGAGAGUGGGUAGUCUUUUCUGCUUGAAUUUUGGACUGACAAAUGAGUGACAUCGUGAAGCAUGAGUCUAAGUUGGUUUGGAAUCUCUUUCCUAUCUCCUAAGACCCCUGGACUUGAGUGGCAAGAAGGUCAGAGUGGCAGUCACAUUGUAAGAGCUUGUGAGUAUAAUCCAACAACCAGAAGAGACAUCUCAUAUCAUUCGAGUGACCCCUGCACACCUCCCGCAGGUCACCUUACACUUCCUAGCUUGAGGCCUUUGCAGAAUCCAUACAAGCUGUGAAAUGAUUCCUUUCCAUGAAGCACUGGAACAAAGAAGCUCACUCUGCUUUCUGGUAAAGCCUUGCUGAGCUAUCUAGAAUUGUGGUUUAGCUCCACAGCCUUGGACCUUUUGCAAACAAUAUCAUUUCUUUCAAAUGAGGAUAAUAGCCAGCAAGGCUACUAUCGUUAUUACUUUCUCUCUUACUUAGUCUUUUUUUCCUCCGUGAAUGUUUCAAGGUUUUCGAGGCAGGAAAAAAAAAAAUCCAGGUUUGCAGGUCAGUAGUAACAACGUUGGACAAAACUUCUUCAAUAAAGAUUCACACUAUUUGAUUUAGCCUAUUUGAAAGCAAUAACUUGCAGAGACAAGUAACAUCUUGCAAAACCUGUUGGCUGGCUGUUCAGCUUUGUCAUCUGAUUUCUUAAGGAAAAUACCAAGUAGUUUUGGAUUUUAACACCCUCUGUUUCAUGAUGCCUUAGUAGCGUAAAAUAUUUCAGAAAAGUUAGGUCCUAGGAGAAUCCAGUCUUAAAGAUUUAUUUAGUGAAAGGAGAUAUAAUUUACGGGGCAGAGAUAGAAGUACAUGAAUAGAGUCUGGACUUCACCACAAAAUCACUCAGUUUCAGAACCCCCUAAGUAUCUGUGGCUGGGGAAAAUUUGGGUUGAUUUAAUUUCUUGGAAUGCAACAAACUGGUAGGGACUUGUAGGAGAAAUAUGAAUCACUGUCUCAAAGUUAAGAGGGUCUGUAGGUGCCUUCUAGUCCAACCUACUGUAUAAUACAGAAGUUUCCUGUAGUAGCCCACAGUCUCUGCUUAGACAUCUCCCAUGGUCGACAGCUCACGCCCUCAUAGGCACCUUCCCCAAGCUCUAAAUUUUUAAAAACUUCUUCCUUGAGCUGGAAUUUUCUUGCCUUUUAACUCCCAUCUAGUUUGGGCCUUUGGAAUAUGGAAACAAAAUUAAUUCCUCUUCCAUUUGACAUCACAUUUGAAGACAAAUAUGACAUUGACAUUCAGUUUGCUUCUCUUAGAUAAAUAUCCUUCUAAAGUAUAAAAAGUUUCCCCUAGAAUGGGACUACUAGAACUUUGAUUUAAAAAAUAAACACUUGGGUAAUUGGAAAGGCAUUCAAUAUUCUCGGGUAGGAUUAAAUUUGUUAAUGGUGUCAGGUCUCCCUAUGGUAAUCUGAAAAUUCUAUGUGAUCCCAAUGUAUAAAUAUACACAUUAUAAACAAUAUGUGCUCCUUUUUCUGGAACCAUCAAAACUCAUUCCACUUACUAUGGGCUUACCAUGUAU